RNAcentral lists this transfer RNA (77 nucleotides) under Promethearchaeota archaeon. Its description in RNAcentral is "Candidatus Lokiarchaeota archaeon tRNA-Asp". It matches the Rfam family "tRNA". Rfam says of the family: Transfer RNA (tRNA) molecules are approximately 80 nucleotides in length. Their secondary structure includes four short double-helical elements and three loops (D, anti-codon, and T loops). RNAcentral also lists the same sequence under 2 other names. The record is from RNAcentral. Lineage: Archaea; Promethearchaeati; Promethearchaeota.
GCCCAUAUAGUGUAGUACGGUUAGCAUUAGGGACUGUCACUCCUUCGACCCGGGUUCAACUCCCGGUGUGGGCGCCA